CAUAACCAAGGAAAGAAUUAAACAACUGAAAUGCAAAACACUACUAAAGAAAAGGACAAAUCUGAUUCUUUACUCUUCAUAUAGUUAAAAUUUAUAUUCAUUCUCAGAGGAACAACGAGCUGGAAGCCACACAGCCUCCCGUGUUUUCAAAACCGUAGUUCUAAAAUAACGGUCACCACACAGUAUAGUUAUUUGCCUGAGUUUCUGAAAAGGACUUCUUUCCUUGAUAUGAAGAAUCAGAAAUGUGUCCAGCGUUCCAGCCAAAGCCUUACCAGGAUUUUCUACAGUGGAACUAAUUCUUUCAUACUCCUGACCUUAUCUGCCUGGUUCUUCACUUCUCUUGCCCCUUACUCAGAUCCCUUAAACAGAUCCUGAUCCUUGGCAAACAGGACAAAAACAUGGCAGGCUGAUACAAAAUGUAUUGGGCAAAGAUAUAUGAUUUUCAUCCUGCAGCUUGAAGUCUCAACUCCCGUGUAGAAACCAGAUGAAGAGGAGGCAGCAGGCUGCUGACUGUGGGAUGUAGCAGAACCUACAUCAAGGUCCAAAGUGCUAUUAUUCCAUUGUUGUUUUUUCUUCUGUAUCCUCUUGUUUUGGAACCAUAAAAGCUUAUCCCAUGGAAGCUAUGCAUCCUUACGCCCCCUGUUCUCCUCUAACUGUAGCAGCUAAAGGACAAAUAAAUAAUGGCACAGCUUCACUGUUUUGCCUCCCUCAAUCAAAGGGCCUUUUCUGUCUGUACUUUCCCUGUUACAUGUUUGAUAUGAUUAACUCUGUCUCUGACAGAAUG
Coturnix japonica (Japanese quail) is the source of this 784-nucleotide non-coding RNA. Lineage: Eukaryota; Metazoa; Chordata; Aves; Galliformes; Phasianidae. The record is from RefSeq and is a predicted model, not a curated record.